UGAUUAGUUAGUUGGAGGUGUAACGGACCCCCAAGACGAUGAUCAGUAGGGGAACUGAGAGGUUGAUCCCCCACACUGGCACUGAGAUACGGGCCAGACUCCUACGGGAGGCAGCAGUAGGGAAUAUUGGUCAAUGGGUGAGAGCCUGAACCAGCCAUG
RNAcentral lists this ribosomal RNA (159 nucleotides) under Aeromonas salmonicida subsp. salmonicida 01-B526. Its description in RNAcentral is "partial 16S ribosomal RNA". It matches the Rfam family "Bacterial small subunit ribosomal RNA", at positions 238 to 396 of the family's 1533-position model. Lineage: Bacteria; Pseudomonadati; Pseudomonadota; Gammaproteobacteria; Aeromonadales; Aeromonadaceae. The record is from RNAcentral.